GCCUGAAAAGCAAGAAGAUCGGCAGUUAACCUUGUAAGUUAAAAAGUAAAGGUUCAAAUCCUUUUUUAGGCUC
This 73-nucleotide transfer RNA is filed under the name Cheiraster sp. SS-2022. RNAcentral's name for it is "tRNA-Thr". It matches the Rfam family "tRNA". Rfam says of the family: Transfer RNA (tRNA) molecules are approximately 80 nucleotides in length. The record is from RNAcentral. Lineage: Eukaryota; Metazoa; Echinodermata; Asteroidea; Notomyotida; Benthopectinidae.